UCUCCGUAGGUGAACCUGCGGAGGGAUCAUUACAGAGUUCUCGCCCUCGCGGGUAGAUCUCCCACCCACUGUUAUCGUUACUGUGUUGCUUUGGCGGGCCGCCGGGCCCCGCUCGGCCGCCGGCUCCGGCUGGCGCGCGCCCGCCAGAGGCCCAGCAAACUCUGAAUGUUAGUGUCGUCUGAGUACUAUAUAAUAGUUAAAACUUUCAACAACGGAUCUCUUGGUUCUGACAUCGAUGAAGAACGCAGC
Molecule: unclassified non-coding RNA, 249 nt
Filed under: plant metagenome
Description: partial contains small subunit ribosomal RNA, internal transcribed spacer 1, and 5.8S ribosomal RNA
Rfam family: 5.8S ribosomal RNA (bases 201-249)
Source: RNAcentral